UUCCAAGUUCCAUUUACUUUCCUCUUCAAUUGUUUCAUUAUAGCUGCCAAAUUGUUACCGAUUCCAAUCUUCAAUUCCAUAUUUUCGAUCCCUGAACCCAAAUAGCCGAUCAAAUUGCAACUCGCAAACCUAAUUCCAAGAAGUUCAUAUGCUAUCUGGUUGGUAAAUGGAUUUGCAUGUGGAUUCAAUACUCAAUCUCUGUCUGAUCUGUCUUUGGGUAAGUAGUUCUGAUUUCUGAACUUCUCUGAUUCUCUGGAUUUCAGAUCUCUAAACACACUUAUCUAGAGGCGUUUUUUAGUUUUUGUGUUGUUAUUGUGACUCAUUCAAGUUGCUAUUGUGUUUCUGGAAUUGCUGCUGCUGCUCAUGUUAAUGGUUGGAGGAAGUUGCUGCUGUUGCAAUUUGUUUAAUUCUCUUUCAUAUUUCAGGUGCAAGACAAUGAUGUCUUUCUUUGGUUGUUUGGCUUUAAGGGCGAUAGAUUGAAUGUGUUUGAUGAUUCUGCGUUUUCUAAUAGGUUUGAUGAUGGAUUAAAUGUGUUGCAAAGUUGAUCAUCUUGUGGUUUGGGUUUGAUGCUUCUAUUGUGUUAUUUCAUUAUGUUUUUUUGUUUUUUUUAUUAUUUAAUGUGUGUUGCUCGGUAACCUGUACAAUAUAUACUUCCGGGCGGAAACUGGGGUCCAAUAUCCGUAUCCACCCAGUCCUC
RNAcentral lists this long non-coding RNA (697 nucleotides) under Linum usitatissimum (flax). RNAcentral's name for it is "long non-coding RNA (LUSI_LNC003108)". The record is from RNAcentral. Lineage: Eukaryota; Viridiplantae; Streptophyta; Magnoliopsida; Malpighiales; Linaceae.